GGGUCAGUAGGUUGGUCGUGCCACCGGUACGUACUGGUCUCACUGAUUCCUCCUUCCUGAAGAACCGUAAUGCCAUUAAUUUGGUGUUGCGGGGAAACAGGACUGUUACUUUGAAAAAAUUAGAGUGUUUAAAGCAAGCUAAUGCUUGAAUACAUUAGCAUAGAAUAAUGAAAUAGGACGAUCGAUCCUAUUUUGUUGGUUUCUGGGAUUGACGUA
This 216-nucleotide ribosomal RNA is filed under the name Glomeromycotina sp. RNAcentral describes it as "partial small subunit ribosomal RNA". The stretch from base 40 to 216 matches the Rfam family "Eukaryotic small subunit ribosomal RNA", at positions 686 to 864 of the family's 1831-position model. The record is from RNAcentral. Lineage: Eukaryota; Fungi; Glomeromycota.